RNAcentral lists this ribosomal RNA (449 nucleotides) under uncultured bacterium. RNAcentral describes it as "partial 16S ribosomal RNA". It matches the Rfam family "Bacterial small subunit ribosomal RNA", at positions 30 to 523 of the family's 1533-position model. The record is from RNAcentral.
AUUGAACGCUGGCGGCAGGCUUAACACAUGCAAGUCGAACGCAUCCUUCGGGGUGAGUGGCAGACGGGUGAGUAACACGUGGGAACGUACCUCUUUGUUCGGAAUAGCUUUUGGAAACGAAAGGUAAUACCGGAUACGCCCUUUUGGGGAAAGAUUUAUCGCAGAGAGAUCGGCCCGCGUCUGAUUAGCUAGUUGGUGAGGUAAUGGCUCACCAAGGCGACGAUCGGUAGCUGGUCUGAGAGGAUGAUCAGCCACACGGGGACUGAGACACGGCCCAGACUCCUACGGGAGGCAGCAGUGGGGAAUAUUGGACAAUGGGCGCAAGCCUGAUCCAGCCAUGCCGCGUGAGUGAUGAAGGCCUUAGGGUUGUAAAGCUCUUUUGUCCGGGAAGAUAAUGACUGUACCGGAAGAAUAAGCCCCGGCUAACUUCGUGCCAGCCGCCGCCGUAA